RNAcentral lists this ribosomal RNA (516 nucleotides) under Aspergillus amstelodami. Its description in RNAcentral is "eukaryotic LSU rRNA". The stretch from base 156 to 309 matches the Rfam family "5.8S ribosomal RNA". The record is from RNAcentral. Lineage: Eukaryota; Fungi; Ascomycota; Eurotiomycetes; Eurotiales; Aspergillaceae.
GAAGGAUCAUUACCGAGUGCGGGCCCUCUGGGUCCAACCUCCCAUCCGUGUCUAUCUGUACCCUGUUGCUUCGGCGUGGCCACGGCCCGCCGGAGACUAGCAUUUGAACGCUGUCUGAAGUUUGCAGUCUGAGUUUUUAGUUAAACAAUCGUUAAAACUUUCAACAACGGAUCUCUUGGUUCCGGCAUCGAUGAAGAACGCAGCGAAAUGCGAUAAUUAAUGUGAAUUGCAGAAUUCAGUGAGUCAUCGAGUCUUUGAACGCACAUUGCGCCCCCUGGUAUUCCGGGGGGCAUGCCUGUCCGAGCGUCAUUGCUGCCCUCAAGCACGGCUUGUGUGUUGGGCUUCCGUCCCUGGCAACGGGGACGGGCCCAAAAGGCAGUGGCGGCACCAUGUCUGGUCCUCGAGCGUAUGGGGCUUUGUCACCCGCUCCCGUAGGUCCAGCUGGCAGCUAGCCUCGCAACCAAUCUUUUUAACCAGGUUGACCUCGGAUCAGGUAGGGAUACCCGCUGAACUUAA